This 491-nucleotide ribosomal RNA is filed under the name uncultured bacterium. Its description in RNAcentral is "partial 16S ribosomal RNA". It matches the Rfam family "Bacterial small subunit ribosomal RNA", at positions 29 to 506 of the family's 1533-position model. The record is from RNAcentral.
AGUGAACGCUGGCGGUAGGCCUAACACAUGCAAGUCGAACGGCAGCACAGUAAGAGCUUGCUCUUACGGGUGGCGAGUGGCGGACGGGUGAGGAAUACAUCGGAAUCUACUUUUUCGUGGGGGAUAACGUAGGGAAACUUACGCUAAUACCGCAUACGACCUACGGGUGAAAGCAGGGGAUCUUCGGACCUUGCGCGAUUGAAUGAGCCGAUGUCGGAUUAGCUAGUUGGCGGGGUAAAGGCCCACCAAGGCGACGAUCCGUAGCUGGUCUGAGAGGAUGAUCACCCACACUGGAACUGAGACCCGGUCCAGACCCCUAGGGGGGGCAGCAGUGGGGAAUAUUGGACAAUGGGCGCAAGCUUGAUCCAGCCAUCCCGGGUGGGUGAAGAAGGCCUUCGGGUUGUAAAGCCCUUUUGUUGGGAAAAAAAAGCAGCAGGUUAAAACCCCGCUGUUCUGACGGUACCCAAAGAAUAAGCACCGGUUAACUUCGU